This 700-nucleotide ribosomal RNA is filed under the name uncultured bacterium. RNAcentral's name for it is "bacterial SSU rRNA". It matches the Rfam family "Bacterial small subunit ribosomal RNA", at positions 8 to 754 of the family's 1533-position model. The record is from RNAcentral.
AGAGUUUGAUCAUGGCUCAGAACGAACGCUGGCGGCAUGCCUAACACAUGCAAGUCGAACGAGACCUUCGGGUCUAGUGGCGCACGGGUGCGUAACGCGUGGGAAUCUGCCCUCUGGUUCGGAACAACAGUUGGAAACGACUGCUAAUACCGGAUAAUGACUUCGGUCCAAAGAUUUAUCGCCUGAGGAUGAGCCCGCGUAGGAUUAGCUUGUUGGUGAGGUAAAAGCUCACCAAGGCGACGAUCCUUAGCUGGUCUGAGAGGAUGAUCAGCCACACUGGGACUGAGACACGGCCCAGACUCCUACGGGAGGCAGCAGUGGGGAAUAUUGGACAAUGGGCGAAGGCCUGAUCCAGCAAUGCCGCGUGAGUGAUGAAGGCCUUAGGGUUGUAAAGCUCUUUUACCCGGGAUGAUAAUGACAGUACCGGGAGAAUAAGCCCCGGCUAACUCCGUGCCAGCAGCCGCGGUAAUACGGAGGGGGCUAGCGUUGUUCGGAAUUACUGGGCGUAAAGCGCACGUAGGCGGCUUUGUAAGUUAGAGGUGAAAGCCCAGAGCUCAACUCUGGAACUGCCUUUAAGACUGCAUCGCUUGAAUUGUGGAGAGGUAAGUGGAAUUCCGAGUGUAGAGGUGAAAUUCGUAGAUAUUCGGAAGAACACCAGUGGCGAAGGCGACUUACUGGACACAUAUUGACGCUGAGGUGC